GACGAACGCUGGCGGCGUGCCUAAUACAUGCAAGUCGAACGAGAGCAACCGGUGCUUGCACUGGUCAAUCUAGUGGCGAACGGGUGAGUAACACGUGGGUAACCUGCCUAUCAGAGGGGGAUAACAUCCGGAAACGGAUGCUAAAACCGCAUAGGUCUUCGAACCGCAUGGUUUGAAGAGGAAAAGAGGCGCAAGCUUCUGCUGAUGGAUGGACCCGCGGUGCAUUAGCUAGUUGGUGAGGUAACGGCUCACCAAGGCCGUGAUGCAUAGCCGACCUGAGAGGGUGAUCGGCCACAUUGGAACUGAGACACGGCCCAAACUCCUACGGGAGGCAGCAGUAGGGAAUCUUCCGCAAUGGACGCAAGUCUGACGGAGCAACGCCGCGUGAGUGAAGAAGGUGUUCGGAUCGUAAAACUCUGUUGUUAGAGAAGAACAAGUGCUAGAGUAACUGUUAGCGCCUUGACGGUAGCUAACCAGAAAGCCACGGCUAACUACGUG
Molecule: ribosomal RNA, 498 nt
Filed under: uncultured bacterium
Lineage: Bacteria
Description: partial 16S ribosomal RNA
Rfam family: Bacterial small subunit ribosomal RNA
Source: RNAcentral